CUUCGGCUCCCGCUAUCGGAUGAGCCUAUGUCGGAUUAGCUGGUUGGUGAGGUAAAGGCUCACCAAGGCGACGAUCCGUAGCUGGUCUGAGAGGAUGAUCAGCCACAUCGGGACUGAGACACGGCCCGAACUCCUACGGGAGGCAGCAGUGGGGAAUAUUGGACAAUGGGGGGAACCCUGAUCCAGCCAUGCCGCGUGUGUGAAGAAGGCCCUCGGGUUGUAAAGCACUUUCAGUGAGGAAGAACGCCUGGUGGUUAAUACCCUAUCUAGGAAAGACAUCACUCACUAGAAGAAGCACCGGCUAACUCCGUGCCUAGCUAGCCGCGGUAAUACGGAGGGUGCGAGCGUUAAUCGGAAUUACUGGGCGUAAAGCGCGCGUAGGUGGCUUGAUAAGCCGGUUGUGAAAGCCCCGGGCUCAACCUGGGAACGGCAUCCGGAACUGUCAAGCUAGAGUGCAGGAGAGGAAGGUAGAAUUCCCGGUGUAGCGGUGAAAUGCGUAGAGAUCGGGCANGNGAAUACCAGUGGCGAAGGCGGCCUUCUGGACUGACACUGACACUGAGGUGCGAAAGCGUGGGUAGCAAACAGGAANAGAUACCCUGGUAGUCCACGCCGUAAACGAUGUCGACCAGCCGUUGGGUGCCUAGCGCACUUUGUGGCGAAGUUAACGCGAUAAGUCGACCGCCUGGGGAGUACGGCCGCANAGGUUAAAACUCAAAUGAAUUGACGGGGGCCCGCACAAGCGGUGGAGCAUGUGGUUUAAUUCGAUGCAACGCGAAGAACCUUACCUACUCUUGACAUCCUGCGAACUUGUGAGAGAUCACUUGGUGCCUUCGGGAACGCAGAGACAGGUGCUGCAUGGCUGUCGUCAGCUCGUGUUGUGAAAUGUUGGGUUAAGUCCCGUAACGAGCGCAACCCUUGUCCUUAUUUGCCAGCGCGUAAUGGCGGGAACCCUAAGGAGACUGCCGGUGACAAACCGGAGGAAGGUGGGGACGACGUCAAGUCAUCAUGGCCCUUACGAGUAGGGCUACACACGUGCUACAAUGGUCGGUACA
Molecule: ribosomal RNA, 1052 nt
Filed under: uncultured Halomonas sp.
Lineage: Bacteria; Pseudomonadati; Pseudomonadota; Gammaproteobacteria; Oceanospirillales; Halomonadaceae
Description: bacterial SSU rRNA
Rfam family: Bacterial small subunit ribosomal RNA
Source: RNAcentral